UGGGAACAUACCCUUCGGUUCGGAAUAACUCAGGGAAACUUGGGUUAAUACCGGAUACGUCCGUGAGGAGAAAGAUUCAUCGCCGGAGGAUUGGCCCGCGUAAGAUUAGCUAGUUGGUGAGGUAACGGCUCACCAAGGCUAUGAUCUUUAGCUGGUCUGAGAGGACGAUCAGCCACACUGGGACUGAGACACGGCCCAGACUCCUACGAGAGGCAG
Molecule: ribosomal RNA, 216 nt
Filed under: uncultured bacterium
Lineage: Bacteria
Description: partial 16S ribosomal RNA
Rfam family: Bacterial small subunit ribosomal RNA
Source: RNAcentral